Molecule: ribosomal RNA, 310 nt
Filed under: uncultured bacterium
Lineage: Bacteria
Description: bacterial SSU rRNA
Rfam family: Bacterial small subunit ribosomal RNA
Source: RNAcentral
GAUGAACGCUAGCGGCAGGCCUAAUACAUGCAAGUCGAACGGGUGGUAGCAAUACCACUAGUGGCGCACGGGUGCGUAACGCGUAACCAACCUACCUGGAUCUGGGGGAUAGCCCGCCGAAAGGCGGAUUAAUACCGCAUAAGCAGGAGAGACGGCAUCGUCUUUUUUGAAAGAUUUAUGGAUUCAGAUGGGGUUGCGUAGCAUUAGCUAGUUGGCGGGGUAACGCCCACAAGGCGACGNUGCUUAGGGGACCUGAGAGGUGAUCCCCACACUGGCACUGAGAUACGGGCCAGACUCCUACGGGAGGCAG